Molecule: long non-coding RNA, 1583 nt
Organism: Rattus norvegicus (Norway rat)
Lineage: Eukaryota; Metazoa; Chordata; Mammalia; Rodentia; Muridae
Source: RefSeq, a predicted model, not a curated record
CCCCCAACCCCAUCCUCCCCACUCCCACCCCCAUCCCCACCCCAUCCCCCCCCAACCCCCCCCUCCCCCCGUGUUGGGAAGAGAUCAAGGGACUGAGCCCUUGUUUGCAUUUUAAUUACCCAACUAAACAAUCAGUAGGAGAGCUGGGACAUUUUAUACACCAAUCCUCCCUUUUUAUGGAGAAUUUUCACAAUAAACCAAGAUUUGAACUCAGAUCUGAACUCAGAUAACUGAACUCAGAUCGCCACAAGCUGCCUGCAUUUCUGAAGUAACCAUAGUCCAUAUAAAGGAGACUAUAGCAGGAAGCCUUAUUGAUCCGUCCACUUAGAUGAAAGCUAAGUGCCCUGGCUAACAUCAAUAUAAGCUCAUGAGGCCCUUUUCAAUUUGUGACAUUUUUUCCUUUCUGAGACACAGUCUGAAGCCUUUUUGAAAGCAGGCUCCACUAGACUUUUGGAAACAGAAUUGCAAGUCCCUGCUAUAAUUAAUUAAAGUGGAAAUGAAGUUGAUUCAAGACCUUCCAGUCCCACAAACUUUAAAAAGAAAACAAAACCAAAAAACCAAUGGUCAAAUGGAUGGCAUUCUAAAGUGCUGUCUGUAAAAGUCACCACUAAAAGAUACGGAAAACACAAUCUAAAGACAGGCCACAUUGCUGGAUCACCGUCCAAUGCGAAGGAAUGCUGCUGGUCUGUAGAGAACGGUAAGAAGACUGGGAAUCAUGAGCCCUAGAAAGAGGUGCGUAAAAUACAGGCUCUGGAGCAAGCACUUGAGGGGAGAGGAACAUUCUCCACAGACGCAAAGCAUUUGACCUGAGAACAGAAAGUAAGGAUGAAGUGUAACGGGAAGGCACCGGCCAUCUCGAAGCAGAUCUUUUUCUGGUCCUCUGUCAUUCCUGGUGAAGCCGCCUCAUUGGACUGAGCCUCUCAUCUCUGAUGUAACGGGGGGAUGACUUUCCUGCUCCAGGAUGCCCUUGACAUAUCAUAAGCAGAGACCCUGAAGUAUUUCUCUUUCCCAGUUUGUAAGUCAGUAUCACCUCCAUCCUCCCAUCCUUCCAGCAGCCCGCACUGCUAAACCAAGAGUAGCCUGGUAUCCUCCCGGAUCCAAGGGAUGUAUUCUGCACUUGGGAAAACAAGAGAAGGGUAGGUAAGGCCUCUUCCCCUGGGAUUUUCUCCCUGGCAUAACCUCUGGCGCUGAUCUUCUGCCUGGUGAGCACAGGGGCUUCCUGACCCUGAGGAGGGUGUUACAUUGUUGUUCACAGGUUUUGCUUUGUUCUGUUUGUCUGAUCGAGUAAUUUGAGACUCACUAAGUAGCUUUGGACCUUGCUACAUAGACCAGGUUGGCCUUGAAGUCACAGAAAGGAGAAUAAACACCGUUCCUGGGUAUACUGUCCCUUCUUAUGCCAGGAGCAAGUCAAACAUCAGGACUCAGUCUCUCUCUGUGUAGAUAGAAUGGCUCCUAGGCUGACCUAGGCACAGUUCAUGUGGAAGAUAAUUUUCUCGGCAUUCCAAAAUGUCACUGUAAGAACGUAACUGGAAGGCAAGGGGCGAACAUGGCCAGUUACCUUAAAAGUAAAACACACUUACCAA